RNAcentral lists this ribosomal RNA (492 nucleotides) under uncultured bacterium. RNAcentral describes it as "partial 16S ribosomal RNA". It matches the Rfam family "Bacterial small subunit ribosomal RNA", at positions 29 to 507 of the family's 1533-position model. The record is from RNAcentral.
AGUGAACGCUGGCGGUAGGCCUAACACAUGCAAGUCGAACGGCAGCACAGUAAGUGCUUGCUCUUACGGGUGGCGAGUGGGGGACGGGUGCGGAAUACAUCGGAAUCUACUUUGUCGUGGGGGCUAACGUAGGGAAACUUACUCUAAUACCGCAUAUGACCUACGGGUGAAAGCAGGGGAUCUUCGGACUUUGCGGGAUGGAAUGAGCCGAUUUCGGAUUAGCUAGUUGGCGGGGUAAAGGCCAACCAAGGCGACGAUCGGUAGCUGGUCUGAGAGGGUGAUCAGCCACCCUGGCGCUGAGACACGGUCCAGACACCUGCGCGAGGCCACAGUGGGGAAUAUUAGACGAUGGGGCAAAGCCGGAUCCAGCCAUACCGCGUGGGUGAAGAAGGACUUCGGCUUCUAAAGCCAUUUUGUUGGGAGAGAAAUGCAGCAGGUUAAUACCCCGCUGUUCUGACGGUACCCAAAGAAUAAGCACCGGCUAACUUCGUG